UCGGAUGCGAACGCGAUGUAUCGGCUGGCCAGUAUCAUGGCAGACGGUGUGAGGAACGCGUACUUAACCUGACGCGUGAUGGGGGAUAGUCUCUCGAAAGAAGGUUGAAUACCGCAUAGGCUCUUGAUGUGGAAGGCUUCAUCGCAGGAAAGUUGGCCUCUGCGAGCAAGCUGAUGUCUCGCGAGGGGGGUGCGUCCUAUUAGCUAGCUGGUAGGGUAAUGUGCCUACCACGGCGACGAUGGGUAGCUGGUCUGAGAGUGAUGAUCAGUCACACUGGGACUGAGACACGGCCCAGACUCCUACGGGAGGCAGCAGGGGGGAAUUCUGCGCAAUGGGGGCAACCCUGACGCAGCAACGCCGCGUGAGUGAAGACGCCUUUCGAGGUGUAAAGCUCUGUCAGUGGGGACGAAGGUCUGGUGGUGAACAGUUAUCAGGCGUGACGGUACCUGCGAAGGAUGCCCCGGCUAACUCCGUGCCAGCAGCCGCGGUCAGACGGAGGGGGCUAGCGUAGUGCGGAAUCACUGGGCGUAAAGCGCGCGUAAGCGGCGUGCCAAGUGCGAAGUGAAAGCCCUCGGCUUAACCGGGGAAUGGCUUCGAAGACUGGUAGGCUUGAGUGUCGGACGGGGAUGCGGAAUUCCUGG
This 641-nucleotide ribosomal RNA is filed under the name uncultured organism. Its description in RNAcentral is "bacterial SSU rRNA". It matches the Rfam family "Bacterial small subunit ribosomal RNA", at positions 62 to 673 of the family's 1533-position model. The record is from RNAcentral.